GAAUGUGGCCAAACCUCUUUGUCAAAGCCUGUCAGAUUUCAGAAGCUAAGCAGCGCUGGGCCUGGUUAGCACUUGGAUUGGAGACCGCUGGAAAUACCAGGUGCCACAGAGG
RNAcentral lists this ribosomal RNA (112 nucleotides) under Periophthalmus magnuspinnatus. The record is from RNAcentral. Lineage: Eukaryota; Metazoa; Chordata; Actinopteri; Gobiiformes; Gobiidae.